RNAcentral lists this ribosomal RNA (501 nucleotides) under uncultured bacterium. RNAcentral describes it as "partial 16S ribosomal RNA". It matches the Rfam family "Bacterial small subunit ribosomal RNA", at positions 28 to 523 of the family's 1533-position model. The record is from RNAcentral.
GAUGAACGCUGGCGGCGUGCCUUACACAUGCAAGUCGAACGGCAGCACGGGUGCUUGCACCUGGUGGCGAGUGGCGAACGGGUGAGUAAUAUAUCGGAACGUACCUUAUUGUGGGGGAUAACGCAGCGAAAGCUGUGCUAAUACCGCAUAAUCCCUAAGGGGGAAAGCGGGGGACCGUAAGGCCUCGCGCAAUUAGAGCGGCCGAUACCUGAUUAGCUAGUUGGUGAGGUAAAGGCUCACCAAGGCAACAAUCAGUAGCUGGUCUGAGAGGACGAUCAGCCACACUGGGACUGAGACACGGCCCAGACUCCUACGGGAGGCAGCAGUGGGGAAUUUUGGACAAUGGGGGCAACCCUGAUCCAGCAAUGCCGCGUGAGUGAAGAAGGCCUUCGGGUUGUAAAGCUCUUUUGUCAGGGAAGAAACAGCAGCUCUAACACAGUUUGCGAAUGACGGUACCUGAAGAAUAAGCACCGGCUAACUACGUGCCAGCAGCCGCGGUAA